RNAcentral lists this ribosomal RNA (492 nucleotides) under uncultured bacterium. RNAcentral describes it as "partial 16S ribosomal RNA". It matches the Rfam family "Bacterial small subunit ribosomal RNA", at positions 29 to 507 of the family's 1533-position model. The record is from RNAcentral.
AGUGAACGCUGGCGGCAUGCUUUACACAUGCCAGUCGAACGGUAACAGGCCUUCGGGUGCUGACGAGUGGCGAACGGGUGCGUAAUGCAUCGGAACGUGCCCGGAGGUGGGGGAUAACGCAGCGAAAGCUGUGCUAAUACCGCAUGAGAUCUGAGGCUGACAGCGGGGGACCAAGCAGCAAUGUUUGGCCUCGCGCGUCUGGAGCGGCCGAUGUCGGAUUAGGUAGUUGGUGGGGUAAAGGCCUACCAAGCCGACGAUCUGUAGCUGGUCUGAGAGGACGACCAGCCACACUGGGACUGAGACACGGCCCAGACUCCUACGGGAGGCAGCAGUGGGGAAUUUUGGACAAUGGGCGCAAGCCUGAUCCAGCAAUGCCGCGUGCGGGAAGAAGGCCUUCGGGUUGUAAACCGCUUUUGUACGGAACGAAAAGCCUCUGGCUAAUACCUGGGGCUGAUGACGGUACCGUAAGAAUAAGCACCGGCUAACUACGUG